RNAcentral lists this non-coding RNA (162 nucleotides) under Desulfosporosinus sp. RNAcentral's name for it is "GlcN6P sequence". It matches the Rfam family "glmS glucosamine-6-phosphate activated ribozyme aptamer". Rfam says of the family: This entry contains a glucosamine-6-phosphate activated ribozyme that is found in the mRNA for GlmS. GlmS is an enzyme that uses fructose-6-phosphate and glutamine to generate glucosamine-6-phosphate. Lineage: Bacteria; Bacillati; Bacillota; Clostridia; Eubacteriales; Desulfitobacteriaceae. The record is from RNAcentral. RNAcentral also lists the same sequence under 1 other name.
AAGAUAAUUUAAGCGCCAGGACCUCAAUCUAAAGUAGACUGAGGUUGACGAGGAAGAGGGUUAUCGAACGAUUCGGCGGAUCCCUCUCGGUGGCUUGUCACCGUAAAGCUUACUUAAAACCGAAGAGCAAUUUUCGGGACAAAAGGAAAGCUGACAAGACAA